Molecule: long non-coding RNA, 536 nt
Filed under: Triticum aestivum (bread wheat)
Lineage: Eukaryota; Viridiplantae; Streptophyta; Magnoliopsida; Poales; Poaceae
Description: long non-coding RNA (TAES_LNC012409)
Source: RNAcentral
UGAGGUAUUUGCUGUGCACAUUUAUCUUCUGCAAUUUUCAUGUCCUCAGUGCAUUUUCAAAUAUCACCCUGAAGGAUUUCUUUGGAGAAUAUGAUCCUUCUUACACGAGGAAGAACGCAAAUAUAUCAUCCUGAAGUAUUACUUUGGAGAAUAUGAUCUUUCUUACAGAAGGAAGAACCUGAUGGUUUAGUUGCUGUGAUAGGGUUGCUUGUUCUAUUUCAACCGGAGUGUUAAACGGUGUACCUACUUAUUAGAUCCUAUGAUGCUUGUAUGCUGUGUCUCUUUGUGACGGGAUCCAUGAACUUUGUCGUUACACAUGUUACAUAGGCUCAUCCAUGUCCUGUUAAUUUCAAAGCUGUAUCGAAGUCGUAAUAUAUGUGGCUGGACUGGGUAUAUGCCUCAUCUCUUGUUUAUCAUACUUACUGGUUGGAUGAGUUUGUGGUCGUUUUCCAAAAUAAGCACGGAGAUGUUUGAAGAAGAAUGCCCUUCAACCUUGCUUGCGCUUGUUUUACUCAUUUGUAUGGGCGGCUUAAACU